Long non-coding RNA from Eriocheir sinensis (Chinese mitten crab), 424 nucleotides. RefSeq lists it as uncharacterized. Lineage: Eukaryota; Metazoa; Arthropoda; Malacostraca; Decapoda; Varunidae. The record is from RefSeq and is a predicted model, not a curated record. The transcript has 2 exons.
CUCGUUAACCAGCUCACUUAUUUAAUGAUUAACGUUGAUGGUUUGAUUAUCCUCGUUGCACACACCUGAUUCUCGUUAAUUAUAGAUCUAAGUCUUACUAAACCUCAUUCCACACCUGUCGUUAAUUACAUACAGCACUCGUUAACCAGGUCACAUAUAUUGGAGAUUAACGUUGAUGGUUGUGAAUAUCCUCGUUACACACCCACCUGAUUCUCGUUAAUUAUAGAUCUAAGUUUUGUUAAUCAUCCCACACACCUGCACUUCUCAUUAACUCCUCACACACCUGUUCGUCGUUAAUUACCUCCACGCACACCUGUUCGUCGUUAAUUACCUCCUCACACACCUGUUCGUCGUUAAUUACCUCCUCACACACCUGUUCGUCGUUAAUUACCUCCUCACACACCUGUUCGUCGUUAAUUACCUC